RNAcentral lists this transfer RNA (82 nucleotides) under Paractinoplanes deccanensis. RNAcentral's name for it is "Actinoplanes deccanensis tRNA-Arg". Lineage: Bacteria; Bacillati; Actinomycetota; Actinomycetes; Micromonosporales; Micromonosporaceae. The record is from RNAcentral.
CCGUGCCCUGGUCGACCUGGCCCGCGACCCGGUGCGCUUCGGUCCCACCAUCGCCGGCCGGGCCGCCCGCCGGUUGCGCGGG